GACGUAGGGCGCGAGCGUUGUCCGGAUUUAUUGGGCGUAAAGAGCUCGUAGGCGGUCUGUCGCGUCGAAUGUGAAAACCCGGGGCUCAACCCCGGGCCUGCAUUCGAUACGGGCAGACUAGAGUUCGGUAGGGGAGUCUGGAAUUCCUGGUGUAGCGGUGAAAUGCGCAGAUAUCAGGAGGAACACCGGUGGCGAAGGCGGGACUCUGGGCCGAUACUGACGCUGAGGAGCGAAAGCGUGGGGAGCAAACAGG
RNAcentral lists this ribosomal RNA (253 nucleotides) under uncultured bacterium. RNAcentral's name for it is "partial 16S ribosomal RNA". It matches the Rfam family "Bacterial small subunit ribosomal RNA", at positions 524 to 776 of the family's 1533-position model. The record is from RNAcentral.